RNAcentral lists this long non-coding RNA (202 nucleotides) under Ananas comosus (pineapple). RNAcentral describes it as "long non-coding RNA (ACOM_LNC043468)". The record is from RNAcentral. Lineage: Eukaryota; Viridiplantae; Streptophyta; Magnoliopsida; Poales; Bromeliaceae.
UAGGGGUAUAGAGAUGAAAAGAUCCUAUGUUUCAAAAUUGUAAAUAAAACUGUAAUAGCGAAGAUUGUAUUUGGAAGUUUAAUGUAAAGAGAAUGGUGAUGUAAAAGUGUAAGAAUGUGAAUGCGUAUAAUAAUUUAGGAUGUGUUAUGUUGUUGAUACCUCCUUUAUGCAAUCAGUGUUUGAAUACAGUUCCUGUUUGGAA